RNAcentral lists this microRNA (22 nucleotides) under Monodelphis domestica (gray short-tailed opossum). Its description in RNAcentral is "mdo-miR-12361-5p". Lineage: Eukaryota; Metazoa; Chordata; Mammalia; Didelphimorphia; Didelphidae. The record is from miRBase by way of RNAcentral.
AGGGAGGGGGGGGACGUUCGCA